ACGGCCAUACCACAUUGAAAACACCGGUUCUAAUCCGAUCACCGAAGUUAAGCAAUGUCGGGCCCGGUCAGUACUUGGGAGGGUGACCACCUGGGAACACCGGGUGUUGUAGGCC
This 115-nucleotide ribosomal RNA is filed under the name Cordylochernes scorpioides. The record is from RNAcentral. Lineage: Eukaryota; Metazoa; Arthropoda; Arachnida; Pseudoscorpiones; Chernetidae.